Molecule: long non-coding RNA, 3034 nt
Organism: Diabrotica virgifera virgifera (western corn rootworm)
Lineage: Eukaryota; Metazoa; Arthropoda; Insecta; Coleoptera; Chrysomelidae
Exons: 2
Source: RefSeq, a predicted model, not a curated record
GUUUAACAAUAGGAAAUAUUCAAGAAUAAAUAAAAUAAAAGUUUAAUCCUAACAACACAAAACAUUCCAGGAAUGUAGGUACUACCGUUCUAUUCCGUGAACAUCUAUCUGAUUAAAUUAUGGGUGGAAAGUUACCACAAGAUAUUCUAUGAACAUAGUACAAUGUCUUCCUGGAGGGGUAAAAUUUUCCAUUACAAGAUUUUAAGAGAGGCCAUUUAUUGUACUGUUCAAUUUGCGUUCAUUUUCAAAUUUGCCGCGCGAGUAUCUAUGUAGGGUCUCGUGGUCAUUGUCAUUGGUCAUCACAUUUCAUUUUCAUAACAUAACCGAUAACCUAAAAAUUUAGUAAAGUAAAAAUUUUGAUUGGAAAAAAAUGCAUCGAUAAGGGGGUGUGGGAAAUGGAAAUUAGUGGCUUUUUUGCUGUACUGUCUGCUAGUUUUUGCUCUGGGCUCUGGCUAGAUCUCUUGUUUAAACAAUUUUAAUCAGCUGAAAGUGGCCUACAAAAAAAAACCAAGAAGGAAAUGUAUAGCCUUGUGGCUAUGAAAGGCAAAAGAGAGAUAUAAAAAGUGUAUUGGCUAGUUGGAAGAAAGUCCACAUUGUCCAUGCAUAAUAAGUUAUUACUUUAUCAACAAAUAUCAAGAAGAUAGCAGGGUCACGAGCAUCAACUUCAUAAGUUCAAGAAUAUCGAGGAAAUCCAGCUCCUCGAUACUACUGGGCAAACUAGAAGAUUGAAGAGGACAAAUCCUUUUGAACUAGUUUGAGUGAUAGGUGAUAGUGAAAAACGGAGCAUAGUGCUUGUGUGCUGUGCCUGUGUAUGUUAGAAUAGUGCUAGAUCUUGUUUGAUUAGAUAAGAGACGCUAUGGGGUAAGCUCUUCAUUUUAAGAAACAGUAGUAAUUUAGGUUAAAUUAAAAUUGCUCAUUGGUCAGUUAUGACCAGAUUGUUUUUUUAUGUUUGGCAAAAAGGACUUGUCAGAAUUGCACAUUGAUAAUGUUUUGAUGAUUUCUGGACCAGAAAAAAACUGUUGUAGAUGUAAACUGUAUGUACAGUAGAAUCUACUACAGUACUGUAGAAAUCAUCCAAACAUUAUCGAUGUGCAAUUCUGACUUAAGCCCUUUUUCCCAAACAUCAGAGAAUUGUAAUGUACAAUAAUUCUCCUAUCUGCUUUUUCAUGAAUUUUGUAGGAGACGAAAAACCAUUUUUAGGAUCAUCUGCUUUCACAUGUAAAUUUUGACAUGUUUUGUAGUAAAUAGAUAGUUGAAUUUACUACAAAACAUGUCAAAAAAUAUAUGAAAACAGGAGGUGACUAUAAAAAAAGUUUUUAGUCUCUCUUACAAAACUCAUGAAAAAACAAAUCGGAGGUAUGUCACAUCAGUGACUAAGAAUGUCUAAAAAAUAUACUUUGAUGUCCCAAGAACCAAAUAUAACCUACAGUCCAUCUAAUUUACUUACUGUUGCACGUCAUUAUCUACGCCAGAGAUCUAAGUUGACAUAGUUGCCAAAGUAUAAAAAGAUCCUGAAUCCAUUUUAAAUCAAAUAUGUCACAUAAUUAUUGUAAACGUGGAUUAUACAACAAAACAAAUUAAUAUUCAAUGUAAAUAAGUAAAAACUUAAGAAAUAGAGAACAAGAAUUAAGUUAUAAUCGUUUAAGAUUUGCAGUGCAAGAGUUUUUGCACUGCAUUGUUAAUAAUUAAAAAACGGCUCCGAACUCUUGGCAAAAAGCCGGUAGGUUUCUUUGUAUAAGUAUGUCUACAAUAACAACUAAAAAAGUUGUCAGAUACCUCGAUUAUUCCAAGUCGUUAUAAAAUUAGGUGAAAUUUAUAUUUUUAUAGUAGAGGAUCUUUUUAUAGUAAAGUAAAUAAUAAAAACAGUAAAUAUAAUAAAUAAAACAGAUACUUAUAGUAAAGAAUAUAAACAAAUAUGAAGUGUCAUCACCGUAACUGUCAAAUAAAUGUUACCAAUAGGGCUUUUCAUUCACAGUCAUUUGUUUCGAGCUGCUGUCUUGUGUCACAUAAUAUUAAUAUAUCUAAGUCAUACGUUAUUGAUAUAUACCAAUGAUACAAACCAAAGACGUAUGGCGUAGAUAUAUUAAUAUUAUGUGACACAUGACAGAAGCUCGAAACAAAUGACAGUCGAUGAAAAGCCCUAUUUAUUCUAAAAUGUCACCUUCGUUCGAUUACAGUUACAGUGUGAUCCGAACAAAUCUGCUUCAUAAAAACGCUUUAUAAUCCAUUUAUACAAAUUAAAUGAAACAUAUUAUUGUGUAUUUCUUUAGGUUAACAUUAAUAGAAAUCUUCAAAUAUUAUUUCUACGCGUAUAUAAUAAAAUAUGUCUAGUGGCUGUAAUUCCAGUGUACUCGGCAAAGUGAUUCUAAAAAAGAACACACCUACCGCCUAAAUAUUUCGUGUUGGUAUCAUGCAACCUCACAGGCUACGACGCGGAUGACGCGCAACAGUUAGUAAAUUAGACGAAGUAUGUAGAUAUAUACAGGGUGUAACAAAAAUACAGGUCAUAAAUUUAAUCACAUAUUCUGGGACCAAAAAUAGUUUGAUUGGACCUAACUUACCUUAGUACAAAUGUGCACACAAGAAAAGUUACAGCCCUUUGAAGUUAUAUAUAUAUAAUAGCACCAAGGGUCUUAGAGGCCCAUGGCUUGAAAAGUUUGUUUUUUUUUCUUCAUUUUCACGUUUCUUUAUGUACUGAGAUCUUCUCUGGCUUGAUAUGUGAUUUUUCUCCAUUCCUUCCUGUUAUUCAUUUUUCUUUUCUGACCCUGUAGCACCAUUCUUUCCAAAUCUUUUUCGACCUCUUGCUUCCAUCUAUUUUUCGGCCUUCCUCUUCUCUUUCUUGAAGCUGUAGUGUAGUUUAGUACCAUUUUUGGAGUCCUCGUGUUUGGCAUCCUUUCAAUGUGACCUCGCCAUCUAAGUCUCUGUGCCUUUAUCAUUCAUUUGAAGUUACAAGAUGAAGUGAUUUUUUCCAAUAUAUCGAAAACUAUUAGAGAUUUUUUAUUGAAAAUGGACAUGUGGCAUUAUUAUGGCAGCA